This 441-nucleotide long non-coding RNA is filed under the name Capsicum annuum. RNAcentral's name for it is "long non-coding RNA (CANN_LNC008077)". Lineage: Eukaryota; Viridiplantae; Streptophyta; Magnoliopsida; Solanales; Solanaceae. The record is from RNAcentral.
CCAAUAUGAUUAUAAUACUACGGGGAAGAGAAGAAAAGUUAUUAAAGUGGAUAGUUUAUCGAUCAGUGGGCUACUUGGUAUUUAGGACUCGAGCACCACACCUAUGAUUGCACCUCCGUAUGAUGUCUCUUAGACUUCUAUUAAAGAUACUCCAGUUGUUAAUACACCCCUUGCACCGCCUCCUUUAUGCACUAGACAGCUUCUUCCUCAGCCUUUUCAGCCUCUUAGAGCUGAUACAAUGAUUAAUUUUUCUUAGGUGGCUUCCUCGACCCACAUUGCUAAAAACACUCUAUCUCCAUUGGUCAUUGAUAUAGCACAGUUCAUCCAGAUGGCCAUUGAUAGGCGUCAUGAGACUGUACGUGCUUAGAUGUAAGACUAAGAGUGACGAUUGUCCAUGGUUGAAGAGAGAGCAAAUAGUUUGGUAGUUACAACUCUUGGGGC